Molecule: ribosomal RNA, 252 nt
Filed under: uncultured bacterium
Lineage: Bacteria
Description: partial 16S ribosomal RNA
Rfam family: Bacterial small subunit ribosomal RNA
Source: RNAcentral
UACGGAGGAUGCGAGCGUUAUCCGGAUUUAUUGGGUUUAAAGGGUGCGUAGGCGGACUGUCAAGUCAGCGGUAAAAUUGAGAGGCUCAACCUCUUCCCGCCGUUGAAACUGGUGGUCUUGAGUGGAUGUGAAGUACGCGGAAUGCGUGGUGUAGCGGUGAAAUGCAUAGAUAUCACGCAGAACUCCGAUUGCGAAGGCAGCGUACCGGCAUCCAACUGACGCUGAGGCACGAAAGCGUGGGGAUCAAACAGG